AAUGAGUAUAAAUAGAAGUGCAUUUUUGUACUUCUUAUCAUUUCAAAAUUAGUGCUCAAAAUCCAUAUCUUAAUAUGUUUGGAAGGCGAUAUAUUCUGUUUUGCGUGACAUAUCUGCUGAAGUGCAUACACGGCCUUCGAAUCAAUUUGACCACAUUCGACAACUGUCAGGAUGUGACACUGGAUUACAAUAAGGUGCCUGUUGCGUUGACCAAGGUUACAUACGACCGAGACGCCGAUGGCGUUUGUAACACGCUGCAUGCCCAGUACGAAAUCCGCAAAAGCACCGAGGACGUCGCAUGGGAGCUAGUGCUGACUACGUACAAGUGCCCACUGGGUGGUACCGCCGUUUGUUUGGAUAACCCGAUGGAAUAUAUCGAGCCGAUGCACUGCGAUAGAUUCCACUCGGACGACAGUGGGCCAUGGUUUAUGUUGUCCAGCGCCAUGAUUGAUGGCGAUAAAUGUGGACGACAUGAGGGCGUAUUCAACUUAGACACGGCGGUGAUGAAGAUUAGCUAUCUCCACAGCUACACCGAACUAGGCAAAGGUACGUAUCGAGUGCGUAUGCUUUUCCAUAUUCCUGGGACCGACUUGGCGGAGAAAAACGUUAAAGGAUGCUGUGAGAUGGACUUUGACGUCAUCGAUGAUUAAAAUGGACCUCCCCGACUACGGAACUUUGAAUAGAUGAAUUUAUAUUUAAGAAGAUCAGUAUUGCAGGAGCAUGUCAAGUAGUUUAUCAUUAUAGCGGUAAGUGUAAGAAUAACAAAAAAUAAAAAGCAGCGACAAUAAUAAAUACAUGAAAAAUAUCC
RNA transcript from Armigeres subalbatus, 808 nucleotides. RefSeq lists it as uncharacterized. The record is from RefSeq and is a predicted model, not a curated record. The transcript has 4 exons. Lineage: Eukaryota; Metazoa; Arthropoda; Insecta; Diptera; Culicidae.